This 159-nucleotide microRNA precursor is filed under the name Pelobates cultripes (western spadefoot toad). Lineage: Eukaryota; Metazoa; Chordata; Amphibia; Anura; Pelobatidae. The record is from RNAcentral.
GCUGACACAUCCCUGCCAAUCUCCGGCAGACCCUCCCUCCCAGACCCUCCCACCUCCUGGACAGCAUCCAUGUUGAAGCUGCCUUCAACAUGGAUGCUGUCCAGGAAGUAGGAGGGUCUGGGAGGGAGGGUCUGCCGGAGAUUGGCAGGCAUGUGUCAG